Molecule: long non-coding RNA, 591 nt
Organism: Neofelis nebulosa (Clouded leopard)
Lineage: Eukaryota; Metazoa; Chordata; Mammalia; Carnivora; Felidae
Exons: 2
Source: RefSeq, a predicted model, not a curated record
UUCCAGUUACUACCCCUCUUCCUUGCUCUUUCCUUCUUACUCAUCUUUGUCUCCUGCGUUCGGACUUGAAAUUCCUCUUCGGAUUAUAAACAGGGAAGCCAAACCCUACGGAAAGGCGGAGCCAGGAGUACAGUAAAGGCUUCCAACUUCUGGUCUUUAAUACCACCCUUAAAACAAAGUCUUUCCAACCUGUUGCCCAAGGGUCGACCCGAAAGAAAAUGCCAAGAUCUCCUCGUCACAGGCGUUGACGAGACACCAGGGGUGACUGCUUUCCACGGCUCUCUUCUCCUUGGCAUAGAGCAGUGGGCAUCAGCGCGCACCCCCCCCCCCCCGGGAAUCUGUCAGAAAUGUGAACUGUCCAGAGGAAGGCCGGCAGUCUGAGUUUCACACGCCCGCAAGGUGAUCCUGACAUGGGUUCCGUGGAUGGCGGGCAGCAGACAGCAGAGGCCUCGGCCUUGGGGACCUGACUUCCUGCUCUGGAAUCCCAGCUCCUCUGCCUCCGGGCCCCGGUGUCCCUGCGAAAGUUACUCAACAUCUCUUUCCCUUGCUUUUUCUCCUGUUAAAAUUAGGGGAUAAUUAAAAAAAACACAC